RNAcentral lists this ribosomal RNA (1988 nucleotides) under human metagenome. Its description in RNAcentral is "bacterial LSU rRNA". It matches the Rfam family "Bacterial large subunit ribosomal RNA", at positions 444 to 2431 of the family's 2925-position model. The record is from RNAcentral.
AUGGGGGGACCAUCCUCCAAGGCUAAAUACUCAUCAUCGACCGAUAGUGAACCAGUACCGUGAGGGAAAGGCGAAAAGAACCCCGGGAGGGGAGUGAAAUAGAACCUGAAACCUGAUGCAUACAAACAGUGGGAGCACCCUUAUGGUGUGACUGCGUACCUUUUGUAUAAUGGGUCAACGACUUACAUUCAGUAGCGAGCUUAACCGGAUAGGGGAGGCGUAGGGAAACCGAGUCUUAAUAGGGCGAUGAGUUGCUGGGUGUAGACCCGAAACCGAGUGAUCUAUCCAUGGCCAGGUUGAAGGUGCCGUAACAGGUACUGGAGGACCGAACCCACGCAUGUUGCAAAAUGCGGGGAUGAGCUGUGGAUAGGGGUGAAAGGCUAAACAAACUCGGAGAUAGCUGGUUCUCCCCGAAAACUAUUUAGGUAGUGCCUCGAGCAAGACACUGAUGGGGGUAAAGCACUGUUAUGGCUAGGGGGUUAUUGCAACUUACCAACCCAUGGCAAACUAAGAAUACCAUCAAGUUGCUCCUCGGGAGACAGACAUCGGGUGCUAACGUCCGGUGUCAAGAGGGAAACAACCCAGACCGCCAGCUAAGGUCCCAAAUGACAGAUUAAGUGGUAAACGAAGUGGGAAGGCACAGACAGCCAGGAUGUUGGCUUAGAAGCAGCCAUCAUUUAAAGAAAGCGUAAUAGCUCACUGGUCGAGUCGUCCUGCGCGGAAGAUGUAACGGGGCUCAAAUCUAUAACCGAAGCUGCGGAUGCUAGUUUACUGGCAUGGUAGGGGAGCGUUCUGUAGGCCGAUGAAGGUGCAUUGUAAAGUGUGCUGGAGGUAUCAGAAGUGCGAAUGUUGACAUGAGUAGCGAUAAAGCGGGUGAAAAGCCCGCUCGCCGAAAGCCCAAGGUUUCCUACGCAACGUUCAUCGGCGUAGGGUGAGUCGGCCCCUAAGGCGAGGCAGAAAUGCGUAGUCGAUGGGAAACAGGUUAAUAUUCCUGUACUUGAUUCAAAUGCGAUGUGGGGACGGAGAAGGUUAGGUUAGCAAGCUGUUGGAAUAGCUUGUUUAAGCCGGUAGGUGGAAGACUUAGGCAAAUCCGGGUCUUCUUAACACCGAGAAGUGACGACGAGUGUCUACGGACAUGAAGUAACCGAUACCACGCUUCCAGGAAAAGCCACUAAGCUUCAGUUUGAAUUGAACCGUACCGCAAACCGACACAGGUGGGCAGGAUGAGAAUUCUAAGGCGCUUGAGAGAACUCGGGAGAAGGAACUCGGCAAAUUGAUACCGUAACUUCGGGAGAAGGUAUGCCCUCUAAUGUAAAGGACUUGCUCCGGAAGCAUCUGAGGGUCGCAGAGAAUCGGUGGCUGCGACUGUUUAUUAAAAACACAGCACUCUGCAAACACGAAAGUGGACGUAUAGGGUGUGACGCCUGCCCGGUGCUGGAAGGUUAAUUGAAGAUGUGAGAGCAUCGGAUCGAAGCCCCAGUAAACGGCGGCCGUAACUAUAACGGUCCUAAGGUAGCGAAAUUCCUUGUCGGGUAAGUUCCGACCCGCACGAAUGGCGUAACGAUGGCCACACUGUCUCCUCCCGAGACUCAGCGAAGUUGAAAUGGUUGUGAAGAUGCAAUCUCCCCGCUGCUAGACGGAAAGACCCCGUGAACCUUUACUGUAGCUUUGCAUUGGACUUUGAAGUCACUUGUGUAGGAUAGGUGGGAGGCUUAGAAGCAGAGACGCCAGUUUCUGUGGAGCCGUCCUUGAAAUACCACCCUGGUGACUUUGAGGUUCUAACCCAGACCCGUAAUCCGGGUCGGGGACCGUGCAUGGUAGGCAGUUUGACUGGGGCGGUCUCCUCCCAAAGAGUAACGGAGGAGUUCGAAGGUUACCUAGGUCCGGUCGGAAAUCGGACUGAUAGUGCAAUGGCAAAAGGUAGCUUAACUGCGAGACCGACAAGUCGAGCAGGUGCGAAAGCAGGACAUAGUGAUCCGGUGGUUCUG